UUUUGUAUUUGAAUGCGCAUGUGUGCGUCCUUUUAAAACUCUUUCCAUUUGUACAAUGACAGAUUUCAGAUUGGAGUUAAUCUGAGCAUGCCCUGGCGUUUGGAAUUAAUCCCUUCAUUGCCUUGAUGAGUCAACCCAUCGUGACUAUGACUGUGGUUGACAACCAAGGACUGGGGCUUCCUGUUGACAUUCAGCACAAAGCAAAGCCCUUGACAAAAGCCAGCCAGAUGCUGCCACCUGAUCUUGGAACUCCCAGCUUCCAGAACUUAUUAAGUCCAUCUGAGAAACUAGAGCCUUGGGACCCAGGGAUGAGGAAACUUACUGUACAGACAUGCAGGCUGACCUUCGCCCUGCGGGCCAUGGCCUCUGCCACGCAACUGCACAAGCUUCAGCCUGAAACUCUCUCCGGCGCUGCCCUAAACAGACCAAGUGUGAGGGAGGGAGCAUGUAAUGAAAGGUCCGCAGAGAACAAGAAGCCACAAGAUUCAGUGCUCUGAAGCCAUGCUAGAUGGUUUCAGGGGAACUAGCUUCCCACCUCUGAUAGGGAUACCAUGGCAAAUAGCACACUUUGCCUAAGAUUAUAAUUCUUUGUGCACAACGCAUCCCAUCUCAAAGACAGUCCACAGCAGGACUUGCUCCAUCUCUGAACUGCUCUUACCCCCUUAAACCUGCCUUUAUAUCUAGGAGUUUCUUUAUUUUAUUUUAUUUUUUUGAGACAGAGUCUCGCUCCAUUGCCCAGGCUGGAGUGCAGUGGCGUGAUCUCAGCUCACUGCAACCUCCACCUCCUGGGUUCAAGCGAUUCUUGUGCCUCAGCCUCCCAAGUAGCUGGGAUUAAAGGCACGUGCCACCAUGCCUGGCUAAUUUUUGUAUUUUUAGUAGAGAUGAGGUUUCACCAUGUUGGCCAGGCUGGUCUCAAACUCUUGACCUCAAGUGAUCCGCCCGCCUCAGCCUCCCAAAGUGCUGAGAUUACAGGUGUGAGCCACCAGGCCCGGCCUAUAUCUAGGAGUCUCUUGAUGAGCUUUGGUCAACAGAAAGAAGUCUCUUCUAAAAAUUGUUAAUGCUUUUAUAGACUACUCAUGGUCUAAGUUAUAAAACAUCAUUUGCCUUUCAAUUUAUACCUUCCAAGUGAAUGAUGAUUAUUGAGGAUUAUCUAAUUAUUAUCUACUUUUCUCUCUAGGUAUAAAAAACACCAUAGAUCCUAUACACACAAAAAUGGUUUUUCUAUCAGAAAUGGACUCACUCAUCUGGCAAAAGGACACAGAUUAGAUUAUUCUAAUCUCAAGGUCCCUUAGGCUUAUGAAUUCAAAAAAAAGUAGAAGAAAUGAACAAAAACAUAAAUCACAGUUUAAGUUAUUAAGUAAUAUCUGAAAUGAAUUAGAAAGAAACGAUAAGCCUUAACAAUACUCCAAUCACGGUUAAAUUAAUUUAGACAGAAAAGCAAAUAGCAACUGACUUGAAAAUAAGAAGUGGGGCCCAAGGUGGAUACAAGAAAGCCAGGAGGGCUAAGAUAAAUCCCAAAUCCAAUGUUCAUCAAUGCCUACACACUCAGUACAACCUGAUGGCAUUAAUUUUGUGGUUAGGGAAAUGUGAAAGCGAAAUCGAUAAUACCACAGUUCUAAAUGUGCACUGUUGGCUGAAUUUAUGGUGUGGUGGGGGGUGGUAAAAAUUAGGCUUCUAAGAAAGGAUGGAAUUCUGCCCUCCAGGCAAGGAGUAAAUGGUCCCAGCAGAUGGAACACUAAAGCAAAUGUAAUCACCUGCAUUUUGCAAAUAGGUGUGUUUCUGAGAAUUUGUUUGAAUUAGUUCUUUGUAAAUAAAACAGGAUUUUGAAUGCA
Molecule: small RNA, 1832 nt
Filed under: Pongo abelii (Sumatran orangutan)
Lineage: Eukaryota; Metazoa; Chordata; Mammalia; Primates; Hominidae
Description: processed transcript
Source: RNAcentral